This 455-nucleotide ribosomal RNA is filed under the name uncultured bacterium. Its description in RNAcentral is "bacterial SSU rRNA". It matches the Rfam family "Bacterial small subunit ribosomal RNA", at positions 340 to 785 of the family's 1533-position model. The record is from RNAcentral.
UACGGAAGGCAGCAGUGGGGAAUAUUGCACAAUGGGCGAAAGCCUGAUGCAGCUAUGCCGCGUGUAUGAAGAAGGCCUUAGGGUUGUAAAGUACUUUCAUCGGGGAGGAAAAAACAAAACUAAUAAUUUUAUUUCUUGACGUUACCCGAAAAAGAAGCACCGGCUAACUCCGUGCCAGCAGCCGCGGUAAUACGGAGGGUGCUAGCGUUAAUCAGAAUUACUGGGCGUAAAGAGCACGUAGGUGGUUUUUUUAAGUCAGAUGUGAAAUCCCUGGGCUUAACCUAGGAACUGCAUUUUGAAACUGAAAUACUAGAGUAUCGUAGAGGGAGGUAGAAUUCUAGGUGUAGCGGUGAAAUGCGUAGAUAUCUGGAGGAAUACCUGUGGCGAAAGCGGCCUCCUAAACGAAUACUGACACUGAGGUGCGAAAGCGUGGGGAGCAAACAGGGAUUAGAUAU